UAAAAGACAGGCCCCAACUAGGGGAUUAUCAUGUUGACUGCCAAAUCUUUCUCUGUAUUCACAAGGCCCAGAAAAUCUGGUGUGCUUUGUAAGCCCCUCCUGAAUCUGCACGAAGUCUGAGUCCAUUUCAGUCUUCUGGACAGAGACAAAGGAAGGAAAAGUAUAAUAUGACUGCUAACUUGCUCAGCACCCUUUACCUACCCACCCUGCAUCCCAACAUGUCAUGUGGAAAAGUCCUCAUUUUUUAUAUUGAGAAGGGUUUUUUGUUUGUUUGAUUAAUUUUUGAUUUUUCAGUGAAGUCAUUUUCUUUGUGUCAAUACCUUUUUCUCUACACUUACCAGGCUGUUGUAAGAAAUAAACUGAGAAACAUUUGAUCUCUCCUCUUCCUCCACCAAGUGCUGACCCUCAGGCUGCACCACCAGAGAGAGAGAGAGAGAGAAGAGGAGUAGAGGCUGGCCAUGAGCAUGCAGAGAAAGAAGGGAGGGGAAUGAGGAGAGAGGGGGGAAGGGGAGAGAGGACAGAAGGAGCAAGAAGGCAAGAACAAGAGAGAGAGGGGGAGGAGGAGGGGGCAAACAGUCCUUUUUAUUGUGAGUCAGGCACACCUGGCUGUUGCCAGGUAACUUGGGGGCAGAGUUUAAACAAAAUGCUGACAAUGGGGACUGGGGUCAGUUGGACAUAAAGGACUGUGGAGACUGCUGGAGACCAGAGUACUACCAUCCUGCAGUUAGUGAGAGAUAAAGCUGCAACAUUUCCAGCACUUCUCCAACCGCAACUCAGCUCAGCGGUAGCUGUUUUUCAGAAACUUCUGCUUUCCUCAACAGAAGGAAGUGAAAUAGAGAUGUUACUUUCUGGGUGGUUUAGCAAAACCGCUCUCUGUAUACCAUGUGCAACCUCCACACAACGACUUCCACAAUUGUGUCAAACCCAUCAAGCUACUCAACACACACACCAACAUACCACACACACACACACAUACACUCUCGUGCACACACACACACACACACACACACACACACAGAGAGACACACACACUCACAUUGAAAGCUAUGACAAAAGGAAUCAAUCUCAAGAAAAAUCAAACAUGUUUUGCCAUUGGGAUGGUAUUUGUUCAAAUGCUGUCUGUUAUGUAAGAGGUUGUGGGCCAAGGUUGGGGGAGGGACAGAUGGGGAAAUUCCAAUGUGUGCAAUUUUUGUGGAAAGGAUGACCGUAGGAGUAAUGCAGUCUCAGGAUUUCAUUGUGGGAACUCGGGAGUACUGAGGGUGGGAAUGAAGCCAGAGAAAGAAAGUAGAAUUACUUUUGACAUUCUUCACAGGUUUGUUUAAGGGGCACCUCAUUGAGAGUCUGCUCAGAGCACUUGCGUGUGGUUUGCAGAGAGCGAUGGAGAUCAACUUUGCCCAUCCCUGAUCAAAAUGUAGAGAAACCUGCUAAGGUGUCUGGAGGACGGGGAAUCAAACAUAAUUGAAGAAAUACCUGGGGAUUGGAUGGGAGAGGGACUCAUGAGUUCCCACCCCUCACUGCAGAGCUAAUGGCAGUGGUGCCAGGAGGAGGAGGGUCAGUUUUCUUCAGAGAUGCAGUUCUGAGGAAGAUGGGGAACUGGGAGGGCAUAGGAGACAGAAAUAGGAGAGUUGGAGGGGAAGACUAUGAUCCAAAUGCAUUGUAUCUAAUAUAUGACAUUUUCAAAGAAUAAGUUUAAGUAUAUUUUUAGAAAACUAUGCUGCUGCUGUAACAACCUGUGGUACAAAUUCAUGACACUGAUACAGGCCUGAAGAGGCCCGUGGUUCUGACUUCAUUGAAAAGGCAAUUUUAUUUUGCAGUUAUGUUAUCUCCUAUGACAAAACAAAAAGUAGUAAAUAAUAAUACCUUAUAAAGAAAUAUGAAUACAACUAGACAUAACCAACGCCAUCUUAAUUGUCCUUGGUUAUAGGACAACCCAAUGUGGUUAUAAAACCACCCUGGCUUAACGUUCCUGAUACAGCUGCCAACCAUUGAGCUGUUUGUUCUUGAUUUCUGCUGAAGUGGGUUGGGUACUUUCCAGUAAAAACCGCCUAAACCCGUCCUUACUCAUAUUUGCCUAGCACGUAGCAGAGAAGCCUUCCUGUUUGCACACCAUGCUGCUGGCUCAUAGCCCUGUGAUCAGACAUAUUUCCUCCUGUGGCAGCUGCUUCUUAUUCACCAGAACUCCAUGUUUCCUGAAACAGGCUUUCUCCAUAUUGUGGAAAACUUGCAUGAUUGAAUCUUCCUACUUCUGAAGAUGAAAUGAGUAGUUCUUUGCACACAAAGUUUGGAGGGUGCUUCUCAUUCUUCUCUUCUUCUCCUUUUUCUCAUUUACCUGAGAAGAAUUUUAAAUGGGUCAAAGGAAUGAGUGUCAGUCACCAAACUGACAAGUUGCCUUGAAUACCUGUAACUUUGUUAGAAUAAUAAAUUCUGGAGAAAACU
This 2436-nucleotide long non-coding RNA is filed under the name Rattus norvegicus (Norway rat). RNAcentral describes it as "long non-coding RNA NONRATT021737". Lineage: Eukaryota; Metazoa; Chordata; Mammalia; Rodentia; Muridae. The record is from RNAcentral.